Molecule: ribosomal RNA, 427 nt
Filed under: uncultured archaeon
Lineage: Archaea
Description: bacterial SSU rRNA
Rfam family: Archaeal small subunit ribosomal RNA
Source: RNAcentral
UACCAGCUCUCCGAGUGGUAGGGAUGAUUAUUGGGCUUAAAGCGUCCGUAGCCGGCUUAGCAAGUCUCCUGUCAAAUUCAGCGACCUAAUCGUUGAGCCGCGGGAGACACUACUAGGCUAGGAGGCGGGAGAGGCCGACGGUAUUCUCGGGGUAGGGGUGAAAUCCUAUAAUCCCGGGAGGACCACCAGUGGCGAAGGCUGUCGGCUAGAACGCGCUCGACGGUGAGGGACGAAAGCUGGGGGAGCGAACCGGAUUAGAUACCCGGGUAGUCCCAGCUGUAAACGAUGCGGGCUAGGUGUUGGGGUGGCUACGAGCCACUUCAGUGCCGCAGGGAAGCCAUUAAGCCCGCCGCCUGGGGAGUACGGCCGCAAGGCUGAAACUUAAAGGAAUUGGCGGGGGAGCACCACAGGCGUGAGCUUGCGGUUC